Molecule: small nuclear RNA, 107 nt
Organism: Ailuropoda melanoleuca (giant panda)
Lineage: Eukaryota; Metazoa; Chordata; Mammalia; Carnivora; Ursidae
Source: Ensembl
GUGCUCGGUUUGGCAGCACAUAUACUAAAACUGGAAUGAUACAGAGAAGAUUAGCAUGGACCCUGCACAAGGAUGACACGCAAAUUUGUGAAAAUUAUUUUCUUCUC